RNAcentral lists this ribosomal RNA (251 nucleotides) under uncultured prokaryote. RNAcentral's name for it is "partial 16S ribosomal RNA". It matches the Rfam family "Bacterial small subunit ribosomal RNA", at positions 525 to 775 of the family's 1533-position model. The record is from RNAcentral.
ACGUAGGGUGCGAGCGUUAAUCGGAAUUACUGGGCGUAAAGCGUGCGCAGGCGGCUAUGCAAGACAGGUGUGAAAUCCCCGGGCUUAACCUGGGAACUGCACUUGUGACUGCAUGGCUUGAGUGCGGCAGAGGGGGGUGGAAUUCCACGUGUAGCAGUGAAAUGCGUAGAUAUGCGGAGGAACACCGAUGGCGAAGGCAAUCCCCUGGGCCUGCACUGACGCUCAUGCACGAAAGCGUGGGGAGCAAACAG